This 492-nucleotide ribosomal RNA is filed under the name uncultured bacterium. RNAcentral describes it as "partial 16S ribosomal RNA". It matches the Rfam family "Bacterial small subunit ribosomal RNA", at positions 29 to 507 of the family's 1533-position model. The record is from RNAcentral.
AGUGAACGCUGGCGGUAGGCCUAACACAUGCAAGUCGAACGGCAGCACAGUAAGAGCUUGCUCUUACGGGUGGCGAGUGGCGGACGGGUGAGGAAUACAUCGGAAUCUACUUUUUCGUGGGGGAUAACGUAGGGAAACUUACGCUAAUACCGCAUACGACCUACGGGUGAAAGCAGGGGAUCUUCGGACCUUGCGCGAUUGAAUGAGCCGAUGUCGGAUUGGCUGGUUGGCGGGGUAAAGGCCCACCAAGGCGACGAUCCGUAGCUGGUCUGAGAGGAUGAUCGGCCACACUGGAACUGAGACACGGUCCAGACUCCUACGGGAGGCAGCAGUGGGGAAUAUUAGACAAUGGGCGCAAGCCUGAUCCAGCCAUACCGCGUGGGUGAAGAAGGCCUUCGGGUUGUAAAGCCCUUUUGUUGGGAAAGAAAAGCAGCAGGUUAAUACCCCGCUGUUCUGACGGUACCCAAAGAAUAAGCACCGGCUAACUUCGUG